RNAcentral lists this ribosomal RNA (397 nucleotides) under uncultured bacterium. RNAcentral's name for it is "bacterial SSU rRNA". It matches the Rfam family "Bacterial small subunit ribosomal RNA", at positions 28 to 429 of the family's 1533-position model. The record is from RNAcentral.
GACGAACGCUGGCGGCGUGCUUAACACAUGCAAGUCGAGCGGUAAGGCCCUUUCGGGGGUACACGAGCGGCGAACGGGUGAGUAACACGUGGGUGACCUGCCCUCAGCUCUGGGAUAAGCCCGGGAAACUGGGUCUAAUACCGGAUAUGACUCCACGGUGCAUGUCGUGGGGUGGAAAGCCUUGUGCGGCUGAGGAUGGGCCCGCGGCCUAUCAGCUUGUUGGUGGGGUGAUGGCCACCAAGGCGACGACGGGUAGCCGGCCUGAGAGGGCGACCGGCCACACUGGGACUGAGACACGGCCCAGACUCCUACGGGAGGCAGCAGUGGGGAAUCUUGCGCAAUGGGCGAAAGCCUGACCCAGCCACGCCGCGUGAGUGAUGAAGGCCUCGGUCGUAAG